GACGAACGCUGGCGGCGUGCCUAAUACAUGCAAGUUGAGCGCUGAAGGUUGGUACUUGUACCAACUGGAUGAGCAGCGAACGGGUGAGUAACGCGUGGGGAAUCUGCCUUUGAGCGGGGGACAACAUUUGGAAACGAAUGCUAAUACCGCAUAAAAACUUUAAACACAAGUUUUAAGUUUGAAAGAUGCAAUUGCAUCACUCAAAGAUGAUCCCGCGUUGUAUUAGCUAGUUGGUGAGGUAAAGGCUCACCAAGGCGAUGAUACAUAGCCGACCUGAGAGGGUGAUCGGCCACAUUGGGACUGAGACACGGCCCAAACUCCUACGGGAGGCAGCAGUAGGGAAUCUUCGGCAAUGGACGAAAGUCUGACCGAGCAACGCCGCGUGAGUGAAGAAGGUUGUCGGAUCGUAAAACUCUGUUGGUAGAGAAGAACGUUGGUGAGAGUGGAAAGCUCAUCAAGUGACGGUAUCUACCCAGAAAGGGACGGCUAACUACGUG
This 497-nucleotide ribosomal RNA is filed under the name uncultured bacterium. Its description in RNAcentral is "partial 16S ribosomal RNA". It matches the Rfam family "Bacterial small subunit ribosomal RNA", at positions 28 to 507 of the family's 1533-position model. The record is from RNAcentral.